GGGGAUUUAGCUCAGUGGUAGAGCGCUUGCCUAGCAAGCACAAGGCCCUGGGUUCCAACCCCAGCUCCG
This 69-nucleotide transfer RNA is filed under the name Rattus norvegicus (Norway rat). It matches the Rfam family "tRNA". From Rfam's summary of the family: Transfer RNA (tRNA) molecules are approximately 80 nucleotides in length. The record is from Rfam by way of RNAcentral. Lineage: Eukaryota; Metazoa; Chordata; Mammalia; Rodentia; Muridae.